Molecule: ribosomal RNA, 744 nt
Filed under: uncultured bacterium
Lineage: Bacteria
Description: bacterial SSU rRNA
Rfam family: Bacterial small subunit ribosomal RNA
Source: RNAcentral
AGAGUUUGAUCAUGGCUCAGAACGAACGCUGGCGGCAGGCUUAACACAUGCAAGUCGAACGAACGUAGCAAUACGUUAGUGGCGCGCGGGUGAGUAACGCGUGGAUAUCUGCCUUUUGGUUCGGGAUAACCUUGGGAAACUAGGGCUAAUACCGAAUGGUUCCUACGGGAUAAAGAUUUAUCGCCAAAAGAUGAGUCCGCGUCCGAUUAGCUAGUUGGUGGGGUAAUGGCCCACCAAGGCGACGAUCGGUAGCUGGUCUGAGAGGACGAUCAGCCACACUGGGACUGAGACACGGCCCAGACUCCUACGGGAGGCAGCAGUGGGGAAUAUUGGACAAUGGGGGCAACCCUGAUCCAGCCAUGCCGCGUGAGUGAUGAAGGCCUUCGGGUUGUAAAGCUCUUUUGGCGGGGACGAUGAUGACGGUACCCGCAGAAUAAGCCCCGGCUAACUUCGUGCCAGCAGCCGCGGUAAGACGAAGGGGGCUAGCGUUGUUCGGAAUUACUGGGCGUAAAGCGUGUGUAGGUGGUUGUCAUAGUCAGGCGUGAAAGCCUUGAGCUCAACUCAAGAAAUGCGCUUGAUACUGGGCAGCUAGAGGACCGGAGAGGAUAGUGGAAUUCCCAGUGUAGUGGUGAAAUACGUAGAGAUUGGGAAGAACACCAGUGGCGAAGGCGGCUAUCUGGACGGUUUCUGACACUAAGACACGAAAGCGUGGGGAGCAAACAGGAUUAGAUACCCUAGUAGUCC